Molecule: unclassified non-coding RNA, 240 nt
Filed under: soil metagenome
Description: partial contains 5.8S ribosomal RNA, internal transcribed spacer 2, and large subunit ribosomal RNA
Source: RNAcentral
AAGACUAUAGACCUGCGGAGUACCUGCGGAGGGAUCAUUACAGAGUUGCAAAACUCCAAACCAUUGUGAACUUACCUUUGCCGUUGCUUCGGCGGGCGGCCCGGGUCCCGACCCGGCGCCCCCCGGCCCCGUCAGGGGCGCCCGCCGGAGGUAAACCAAACUCUUGAAUUGUAUGGCCUCUCUGAGUCUUCUGUACUGAAUAAGUCAAAACUUUCAACAACGGAUCUCUAGAUCGGAAGA